GCUAGUAAUCGCGAAUCAGAAUGUCGCGGUGAAUACGUUCCCGGGCCUUGUACACACCGCCCGUCACACCAUGAGAGUCGAUAACACCCGAAGCCUGUGAGCUAACCUUUUAGGAGGCAGCAGUCGAAGGUGGGGUUGAUGAUUGGGGUGAAGUCGUAACAAGGUACC
RNAcentral lists this ribosomal RNA (168 nucleotides) under uncultured bacterium. Its description in RNAcentral is "partial 16S ribosomal RNA". It matches the Rfam family "Bacterial small subunit ribosomal RNA", at positions 1334 to 1500 of the family's 1533-position model. The record is from RNAcentral.